This 447-nucleotide ribosomal RNA is filed under the name uncultured bacterium. RNAcentral describes it as "bacterial SSU rRNA". It matches the Rfam family "Bacterial small subunit ribosomal RNA", at positions 355 to 825 of the family's 1533-position model. The record is from RNAcentral.
UGGGGAAUAUUGGACAAUGGGCGCAAGCCUGAUCCAGCCAUGCCGCGUGAGUGACGAAGGUCUUCGGAUUGUAAAACUCUUUUGGCGGGGACGAUAAUGACGGUACCCGCAGAAUAAGCCCCGGCUAACUUCGUGCCAGCAGCCGCGGUAAUACGAAGGGGGCUAGCGUUGUUCGGAAUCACUGGGCGUAAAGCGCACGUAGGCGGAUGUGCCAGUCAGGGGUGAAAUCCCGGAGCUCAACUCCGGAACUGCCUCUGAUACAGCACGUCUUGAGUUCGAGAGAGGUGGGUGGAAUUCCUAGUGUAGAGGUGAAAUUCGUAGAUAUUAGGAAGAACACCGGUGGCGAAGGCGGCCCACUGGCUCGAUACUGACGCUGAGGUGCGAAAGCGUGGGGAGCAAACAGGAUUAGAUACCCCUGUAGUCCCUGAGCGGGCUGGCAAGGCGCAU